Molecule: ribosomal RNA, 344 nt
Filed under: uncultured Verrucomicrobiota bacterium
Lineage: Bacteria; Pseudomonadati; Verrucomicrobiota
Description: bacterial SSU rRNA
Rfam family: Bacterial small subunit ribosomal RNA
Source: RNAcentral
AACGAACGCUGGCGGCGUGGAUAAGACAUGCAAGUCGAACGCUAAUUGCGGGGUAGCAAUAUUCCGCAGUUGGAGUGGCGCAAGGGUGCGUAACACGUGGGCAAUCUGCCGUGAAGUCCGGGAUAACCUGCUGAAAGGCGAGCUAAUACCGGAUGUGAAAAUCGGGAGGCAUCUUUUGAUUUUCAAAGUUGGGGACCGUAAGGCCUGACGCUUCAUGAUGAGCCCGCGGCCUAUCAGCUAGUUGGUGAGGUAACGGCCCACCAAGGCUAAGACGGGUAGCUGGUCUGAGAGGACGACCAGCCACACUGGAACUGAGACACGGUCCAGACACCUACGGGAGGCUG